This 392-nucleotide ribosomal RNA is filed under the name uncultured bacterium. RNAcentral's name for it is "partial 16S ribosomal RNA". It matches the Rfam family "Bacterial small subunit ribosomal RNA", at positions 523 to 918 of the family's 1533-position model. The record is from RNAcentral.
AUACGUAGGGGGCGAGCGUUGUCCGGAAUUAUUGGGCGUAAAGGGUUCGCAGGCGGUCUGAUAAGUCAGAUGUGAAAGGCAAUGGCUCAACCAUUGUAAGCAUUUGAAACUGUCAGACUUGAGUUAAGGAGAGGAAAGUGGAAUUCCUAGUGUAGCGGUGAAAUGCGUAGAUAUUAGGAGGAAUACCAGUGGCGAAGGCGACUUUCUGGACUUAUACUGACGCUGAGGAACGAAAGCGUGGGGAGCAAACAGGGUUAGAUACCCUGGUAGUCCACGCCGUAAACGAUGAGUGCUAGGUGUUGGGGGUCAAACCUCGGUGCCGCAGCUAACGCAUUAAGCACUCCGCCUGGGGAGUACGUACGCAAGUAUGAAACUCAAAUGAAUUGACGGGG